UGGGGAAUUUUGGACAAUGGGGGAAACCCUGAUCCAGCCAUCCCGCGUGUGCGAUGAAGGCCUUCGGGUUGUAAAGCACUUUUGGCAGGAAAGAAACGUCGCGGGUUAAUACCCCGCGAAACUGACGGUACCUGCAGAAUAAGCACCGGCUAACUACGUGCCAGCAGCCGCGGUAAUACGUAGGGUGCAAGCGUUAAUCGGAAUUACUGGGCGUAAAGCGUGCGCAGGCGGUUCGGAAAGAAAGAUGUGAAAUCCCAGAGCUUAACUUUGGAACUGCAUUUUUAACUACCGGGCUAGAGUGUGUCAGAGGGAGGUGGAAUUCCGCGUGUAGCAGUGAAAUGCGUAGAUAUGCGGAGGAACACCGAUGGCGAAGGCAGCCUCCUGGGAUAACACUGACGCUCAUGCACGAAAGCGUGGGGAGCAAACAGGAUUAGAUACCCUGGUAGUCCACGCCCUAAACGAUGUCAACUAGCUGUUGGGGGCCUUCGGGCCUUGGUAGCGCAGCUAACGCGUGAAGUUGACCGCCUGGGGAGUACGGUCGCAAGAUUAAAACUUAAAGGAAUUGACGGGGGUCAUAGCUGUUUCCU
This 587-nucleotide ribosomal RNA is filed under the name uncultured bacterium. Its description in RNAcentral is "partial 16S ribosomal RNA". It matches the Rfam family "Bacterial small subunit ribosomal RNA", at positions 355 to 938 of the family's 1533-position model. The record is from RNAcentral.